RNA transcript from Syzygium oleosum, 2426 nucleotides. RefSeq lists it as uncharacterized. The record is from RefSeq and is a predicted model, not a curated record. Lineage: Eukaryota; Viridiplantae; Streptophyta; Magnoliopsida; Myrtales; Myrtaceae. The transcript is spliced from 15 exons.
CAGCUCCUGUAGCGCAAACAAAACAGAAGUCAGUGGCGCCCCGCCUCCGACGAGCGACGACGCCGACUCCGCCGCGAACGCCGACGAGCUCCUCCCGGCCUCCGCGAGGCCGCGGUUCUCCACCGCUAUUCGAAGCGCCUCUAAUCGACUGCGAAGCUCCGGAGGGGGGAAGAUUAAGCGAGUCUUGUUGCCGGUCGACGUGCUUGGCAGUGGACGGCGACGUGCCGAGGCUGUUGCUCCGAUCGCGAAGGGCGUAGAUCCGCGGCGAAAAGAUCCGCUCGUCCUGUCCGAUCCUUCAGGAGGUUGCUACUCGACUCGUGACGCCGUCAGUCUGCUUGGAAGUUCUGUUCGAUGACAAUUAUGGAAGUGAAAAUAGAAAUUUGAAGAUUACAAACAAACAAUGAUGCGACUGAUGCGACGCUAAUCCUCCUGAGUUCGCUUCAAUUCAGGUUUUUGAGAUGGCUGAUGAUCGGAGUAGUCUCUCUCAUACUUUCAAGUACUUACUGGCUACGCAGUUUUUGGCCAGGGGAAUCCCUUUUCUGUUCAAUACGUGGAUAGUGCGGCAUCUCACUGCAGACGAUUACGCGCUCUACGCGGUAAAAUUUCAUCUGUUCGUCACCUGUGUGUUGUUCCUCAGUCGGGAAGGAUUUCGUCGAGCAUGCAUGCGAGCUGACAUUCAAUGCAAUGGAGCUUCAGCAGGAGAAAAUGUUAUAAAGCUAUUGAAAGUUGCUUGGAUGACUAUACCUCUUGGACUAGCCAUUACUGCUGCAGCCUGUUCUUUUAUCUUCUGGUGGCAGGAACUAAGUUAUUCUGACCCAUAUGCACAAGCUAUUCUUAUAAAUGGUUUUGCAUGUAUGUUGGAACUUUUGGCUGAGCCUUUUUACAUCCUCUCCCAGAACCUGCUUCUGCUCAAAUUACGGUUAUUGGUGGAGACAGCAGCAACAUUUUUACGUUGCUUCACAUUGUAUAUACUCAUUGUUAAGCAAACUAACAUGGAAAAGGCGAUUGUAUUUGCAUUGUCACAAGUUGCAUAUGGAGCUUGCUUCUUCUUUGGUUACUGGGGUUUUUACCUUUUCUCAAGUUCAUUCAAGAGUUCUGAUCUUUUUCCUUUCAGAGUGAGUGGUAUGGCACACUUUGAUGGUCAGCUUGCCAAUAUGUCCAUGAUAUUCACUUUUCAGUCCUUUCGAAAGUUGAUCCUUCAAGAAGGAGAAAAGAUGGUUCUUGUAUGGUUUGAUACACCAUAUAAUCAAGCUGUAUAUGGCCUAGUAGACAAACUAGGGAGCCUCGUGGUGAGGCUGGUUUUCCUUCCCUUUGAAGAAAGUUCGUAUACAGCAUUUGCAAGGUCCGCAUCAGGACAAAGUUCAGACAGAAGUCGGAAGAUAGGAAGAAGUCUUACAGAGGCCCUUAAACUUGUCAUGUUGAUAGGUCUUAUAUUUAUUGCUUUUGGCCCAAGUUACUCUUACUCCCUGAUAAGGUUGUUAUAUGGUCAAAAAUGGAGUGAUGGAGAAGCACCAACAGUCCUCCGCUACUACUGCAUCUACAUCUUUUUCUUGGCUAUGAAUGGAACUUCGGAGGCAUUUCUGCAUGCAGUUGCGGAUGAAAACCAGCUCAAACACUCAAAUGAUAUGUUGCUCGUGUUCUCAUCCAUAUAUGUGAUGCUAAAUAUCAUGUUAAUAAAAUCAACGGGCGCAGUUGGCUUACUUAUGGCAAAUUCUUUGAACAUGCUUUUGAGGAUAAUCUACUCUGCAACGUUCAUAAAAAAGUAUUUCCAGGAUUCUUCAUCCUUUUCAUUUCACAAGUGCUUCCCUUCAGGGUCAACAGUUUUGCUGCUUUCUGGUUUAGCUACACUUACCUCGGAGAAAAUUUUCUUGGACAAGGAAAAGUUUUGGCCCUCAUUUUUAGUUCAUUUUUUUGUUGGGUUGACUUGCUUCUGCACAUCAGCCUUUGUCAUUUAUGCCCAUGAGAAGGCUUUUGUGAACAGAGUUAUCCGCUUUCGUGAUCAUGGCGAUUGAUAUACCAGAAAUCAUACAAAUCCUCAACCAGGUGCGCUCAUGUUUUCUAAGGUGGUAGCCGGUAGGCAAAAGUUUGAUGAUGAAAACUAGAUUGACAUAGAUGAGGGGCACGAGGAAAGGAGGUGAUGUUUUACAAGACACCAGCGCCGUGCUCAAUCGUACUCCAGUCUGACUGUAAGAGACGAGCAAUAGGUUCAAUUGGUAGUCAUGAGCUAUGAGAACUUCAGAUUGAUUAGCAGCAAAAAAUGGAUUGAUGAUUAUUAUUCAGAUGUAGACCAGGCAUUCUUUCUAAAAACAGAAUGGUGACAUUUUUAAUUUUGCAUUUGAAGUAAGAUCCUUGAACAGAUAUUUUCGCUGAGGCCUUUUGCUUCAAAAUGCAGGGAGGCACGAGCUGCCACCUCCGCAAUCUCACUC